RNAcentral lists this ribosomal RNA (608 nucleotides) under Trichoderma asperellum. RNAcentral's name for it is "eukaryotic LSU rRNA". The stretch from base 214 to 367 matches the Rfam family "5.8S ribosomal RNA". Lineage: Eukaryota; Fungi; Ascomycota; Sordariomycetes; Hypocreales; Hypocreaceae. The record is from RNAcentral.
UCCGAUGGUGAACCUGCGGAGGGAUCAUUACCGAGUUUACAACUCCCAAACCCAAUGUGAACGUUACCAAACUGUUGCCUCGGCGGGGUCACGCCCCGGGUGCGUCGCAGCCCCGGAACCAGGCGCCCGCCGGAGGAACCAACCAAACUCUUUCUGUAGUCCCCUCGCGGACGUAUUUCUUACAGCUCUGAGCAAAAAUUCAAAAUGAAUCAAAACUUUCAACAACGGAUCUCUUGGUUCUGGCAUCGAUGAAGAACGCAGCGAAAUGCGAUAAGUAAUGUGAAUUGCAGAAUUCAGUGAAUCAUCGAAUCUUUGAACGCACAUUGCGCCCGCCAGUAUUCUGGCGGGCAUGCCUGUCCGAGCGUCAUUUCAACCCUCGAACCCCUCCGGGGGAUCGGCGUUGGGGAUCGGGACCCCUCACACGGGUGCCGGCCCCGAAAUACAGUGGCGGUCUCGCCGCAGCCUCUCCUGCGCAGUAGUUUGCACAACUCGCACCGGGAGCGCGGCGCGUCCACGUCCGUAAAACACCCAACUUUCUGAAAUGUUGACCUCGGAUCAGGUAGGAAUACCCGCUGAACUUAAGCAUAUCAAUAAGCGGAGGAGUCAUA